GUCUAUCUCACAAUUAACCCAUCCAUCUCAUUAUCUAUCCCUGUAUAUAUCUGUAUCUAACUCUCAGUCUUUCUUUCUAUCUAUCUCAAAAUCUGUCUAUUUGUGUAUCUGUUGUUACCUGUCUGUCCGGCCUUGUAUUUGUCUCUCUGUCUGUACAACGUCUGUCCGUGUUGCCAUGGCCACCAAACACACCCCUGACCCCCAGGAUCCCCACUUCCAAGAGGGGAGACGCAUUGGCCCUUGAUAUGAAACUUGACCAGACUCUAGCUGAAGCCAAGAGAGCAGCUGAGGGGAGGAAAAGAGCGCGUUCUGGAGGAGACCCUCCACAGAUCUCUAAGAGGGACUGUGUAGUACGAGGCAAGCCGAGAGGGAGGUGUGGAGGGCGACGCCAAGCCUCAGCUACAGAAACAAGUGCAUGACCAAGACAUGUUAAUAAUGCGACUAAGAGAGGAAGUGAGCAUUUCGGUGUUGGAGAUGGCACAACACGGCACAUGGUGGAAGAACUUGGUUGUGGUUCUCAAAAACAAAGUGGCUGAGGAGGACAAGGGAAACGAAGGGCUUUGCUGUCUCUCAAGAAGAGCACUUUCAGAGGUGUCAGAGAGGUUGCAAAUGCUCCUCCAACACUACAAGACUGCUUUAGGUCCUGAGGCCUCUAUCCUUGGACCUUUGGAAGAGGAAGAUCAAAGUGGCCUCAGCAGUCCAGACUCCAGUGAGGAAGAAGAGGGAAACAACUUAGAUUGAAGCUGAACAAAGGAUCGUUAUGAAGGAAAUGGACUUGUCACUUUUGUUAAGCUCAUGACGUUCCUUUCAGCGCCACCCUCAGACCACAAUGUUAAAAUGGAUAUUUCGAGGUCCUUUGGGCAGGUCGCCAAUUAAUUGUUUGAGCCUUUAUAGGAUGUUGUGUUACUUUAUAUCACUGCACUUAUUAACACAUCAAGACUAUAACUGCUUUACUGGAAUUGUGCAUUUUUGUUUCUUUGCCUUAAUUGCUUUGUCAGUGUUAUAUUUUUCAU
Anoplopoma fimbria (sablefish) is the source of this 1013-nucleotide long non-coding RNA. RefSeq lists it as uncharacterized. NCBI's taxonomy places the organism in Eukaryota, Metazoa, Chordata, Actinopteri, Perciformes, Anoplopomatidae. The record is from RefSeq and is a predicted model, not a curated record. The transcript has 5 exons.